GAUGAACGCUAGCGGCAGGCCUAAUACAUGCAAGCCGAACGGAAAGUUUGAUAGCUAUAUUCGCCCUAGAGUGGCGCAAGGGUGCGUAACACGUAUGCAACAUGCCCGCGACAGGAGGAUAGCUCCUCGAAAGGGGAAUUAACACACCAUAACACCAUGAGAAGGCAUCUGAUUAUGGUUAAAACGCAAGGGGUCGCGGAUGGGCAUGCGGAUGAUUAGCUAGUUGGCGGGGUAAAGGACCACCAAGGCGGUGAGCAAUAGGGGUUCGGCGAGGAAGGUCCCCCGCACUGGCACUGGGUUACGAGCCAUACGCCUACGGGCGGCAGCAAUAGGGAAUAUUUGGCAAUGGUUGCAAGACUGAACCAGCCAUGCCGCGUUCAGGAAGAUGGCCUUCUAGGUCGUAAUCUGCUUUUUACUGUGAAUAAAAUACCCGCGCGCCGGGAAUUGAAGGUAACAGAUCAAUAAGCCACGGCUAACUACGUG
Molecule: ribosomal RNA, 483 nt
Filed under: uncultured bacterium
Lineage: Bacteria
Description: partial 16S ribosomal RNA
Rfam family: Bacterial small subunit ribosomal RNA
Source: RNAcentral